AUGCACUGUGUAUGCGGAUUUAGUAGUCGAUCCGGCAAUAAGCUUACCAAACAUUUGGCGGAGUGCAAACGCAAAUCUGCUUAUCCAAGCGCUGAAAGAGCAGCCCAAAACACGGUUCAGUCGCAGUCAGCCAGUUUCCCACCAUUGGUUUCCUUAGAUGAUGCAGAUGCUGCAGACCCUACGGAUAGAUGGCUUAGAGCUUUUGUGACUCCCAAUGAAAACGCUGAGAAGACGCCUCCACCUCUGAAAGCCAAUCUGUCAGAAGCUCCACCAAUGUUGAAUGUUCUGGGUCUUGCGAGGCGCGAUCCGGAACAAACCUCUGAUGACUCGAAUAGUAAAAUUUCCGAUGGGAAACCUGACUCCACCGUCGAUGAUGUCGAAAUCAAUUCGAACGAGUUUGAUAAAAAUAAGCAUCUUUCUAAGGAAGAAUCAAAAGUAGAACAGGAAGCGUCUGUAAAUCAUAAUAAUUCUGGUGAUGUGAUAGAAUUGGACGAUGAUUCAGAAGUGGAAUUAACAAAGGAUCAUGGAUCGUUCAAAAAGAUCAAAUUAAGCCAGAAUCCAAAUAACAAGCCUGCAAAUAAAGAGGAAAUAAAUGAUGUGGAAGUUAUGGAUGUUGAUGAACAACCUGAAAAGAAACCAAAUGAAACGAAUGAUUCGAACUCAGCCGUCACGGAUGAAAAACAAACUGAAAAUUGCAAAAUUAAUUAUAACUCUGAAAAUGAAGUUAAGUCUGAAGUCGGAGAUGUUGAGGAAAAGCCAACAAAAGAGGUUGAAGUAAACAACACAAACCUGACCGUUGCGAUAGGUAAUUCAACAUCAAAGAGUGAAGCGGACACACCUAAUGAAUUAGAUGGGAGUAAAAGCCCAAGUGAAAGAAAUAAAAUUAGUGAUCUAGAUAUUGUCGAGGUAGACGAAGUCUACUCAGGAAAUCACAAAACAAAUAAUUCAAGUCUCAUAGAUGUCAAUAAAAAAUCAGCUAAAGUCUUAGAGAGUAGUAAUUUAAGCAUUGUAGAUGUAAAAAGCUACGCAAAUAAUGAUAUAAACAUGCUAGACUUAGAAAAUGGUGAAAAAAAUGAUGUGAACAUAAUCGACUUUGAAACCAAUGGUUUCCAGAAUAAUGUACAGACCAAAAAAAGUACAGAGAUUAUUUCAAAUGAUGAAAUGAAUGCUGCUGUCGAAAGUAUCCGCGAAAUUUCAUCAUGA
This 1203-nucleotide long non-coding RNA is filed under the name Bemisia tabaci. RNAcentral's name for it is "lncRNA ENSSSA1NGG010874". The record is from RNAcentral. Lineage: Eukaryota; Metazoa; Arthropoda; Insecta; Hemiptera; Aleyrodidae.